This 505-nucleotide ribosomal RNA is filed under the name uncultured bacterium. RNAcentral's name for it is "partial 16S ribosomal RNA". It matches the Rfam family "Bacterial small subunit ribosomal RNA", at positions 29 to 523 of the family's 1533-position model. The record is from RNAcentral.
AGUGAACGCUGGCGGUAGGCCUAACACAUGCAAGUCGAACGGCAGCACAGGAGAGCUUGCUCUCUGGGUGGCGAGUGGCGGACGGGUGAGGAAUACAUCGGAAUCUACCUUUUCGUGGGGGAUAACGUAGGGAAACUUACGCUAAUACCGCAUACGUCCUUCGGGUGAAAGCAGGGGACCUUCGGGCCUUGCGCGGAUAGAUGAGCCGAUGUCGGAUUAGCUAGUUGGCGGGGUAAAGGCCCACCAAGGCGACGAUCCGUAGCUGGUCGGAGAGGAUGAUCAGCCACACUGGAACUGAGACACGGUCAGACUCCUACGGGAGGCAGCAGUGGGGAAUAUUGGACAAUGGGCGCAAGCCUGAUCCAGCCAUACCGCGUGGGUGAAGAAGGCCUUCGGGUUGUAAAGCCCUUUUGUUGGGAAAGAAAAGCAACCAGUUAAUACCUGGUUGUUCUGACGGUACCCAAAGAAUAAGCACCGGCUAACUUCGUGCCAGCCGCCGCAGUAA